Long non-coding RNA from Lutra lutra (Eurasian river otter), 3071 nucleotides. RefSeq lists it as uncharacterized. Lineage: Eukaryota; Metazoa; Chordata; Mammalia; Carnivora; Mustelidae. The record is from RefSeq and is a predicted model, not a curated record. The transcript is spliced from 3 exons.
CUCCCCGCGCGCGCUGCAGGAGUAUCUCAACUCUCACCGGCUCCCAGGAACAAUGAAGGGAAGCUCAAGUUUGAGCGCAAGUGGUGGCUUCCUAUUCGGGACUAGAGAUGCGACGGUGGCCCCGAGGUGCCCCAAGACUGCCGUACGGGGUACAACUGGGUCUUUGCCGACGGCGUGCUGCCUCCGCCAGGUCACAGUUUUAGAAGAAAACCGGAGUGUGAUCUACACUGCGAGCUGUGGACCGCGCAGUUCCAGGUUAGACCAGGAGCAGACGCUGACCUCACACUUCUGGUAGAAGUGAGAAGUGUUUUUCUACCUGAAGUUAGGGGCACAGUUCAUCUUGCUACCAUGAUGGCCACCAGCCCUGCCUCCGCAGAGAACUGUCAUGAAAAUAAUCAGGAACUCUGAACUUCUGAGCGUCUGAGACUUCAGCAAGCAAAAAAUCCUCCAUUUAUUUAACAUGGAAUAUUAUUUAAGGCCUUCCUGAAACUAUGUGUACAUUCAUAGUGGUUAAUGCAGAGAAGUGAAGAAUUCAGAAACUGACUGCAAGUUCAAGAUGAGCUGCAAGGAAAAAAAAUUCAAAGGCCUUGGAACAGAAUUCCAGCAACAUCAGACCAAAGUAAUGAAGCUACGUAGACUUUUUGUCUUGUCACAUUGAGUUCAAUGGUAGAAAAUAAUCUAGAGGUGCCUGGGGUAGCUCAGUCAUUUAACUGUCCGACUCGUGGUUUUGGGUCAGGUCGUAAUCUCAGGGUGGUAGCAUCAAGGCCCACAGGGCUCUGCACUCAGUGGGGAGUCUACUGGUGGUUCUUCUCCCUUAGUUCCUGUCCGCUGCACCUCCCCCCACCCUCAUGCACACUCUCUGUCUCAAAAUAAAUAAAUCUUUUUUUAAAAAAGAAAACGAUCUUGUCAGAAGGAAAAUGUGACCACAAGCAGACUUACUGGCAAUUACGCAUUUUAGUUUCAGUAACUCUAUAAAUAAGGUUUUUUCAAAACAACGUAUCUUUUUCAGGUGGGGAAAAAGCUCAUUAAGUUGCCCUGGAUAUUGUGACAGAAUAUGUUAUAGAAGCAAAACCGAUGAGAGGAAAUUGUCAUGAUGAUUUGAAAAAUUGGGUCCAUGGUAUUUCCUUGCAAAAAGAAAAGAUAGGUUGGUAUGUAAAGUUAUCUAUGCCAAAAUAUCCCAUUACACUUAAAAAAUCUUUAUUAAGAGAUCUAAGUUUUAAAACUGAUUAAAUCCAAGACAUUUCAUCAGUCAUUUAAAUUUCUAGAGUUUGGUAACUCUUCUGUAAGUAGAGUUCUGAUUUCAAACUACUUUUCCUAACUACAUUAUGGAGUUCCAACGAGGAUCGAAAAUGCGGAAAAAUUUUUGAUAAGUUGUAUUGUUACUUAUUAUAAUGUUACUGGUAUUAGAAAACAUCUCAGUCCCCACUGCUCUAAGAGAGACUCUUGGUGCUCCACUCCCGUAGGAUCAGCCCAUGACCUUGUUUUAUCUAUAUGUGAACCAACUAGUCUAACAGUCCAAGGAUUCUCCUUUGCAUAGGUUUAUCAUGAAAUCUAGGUUUUCAUUAUUUUGCAGUACUAUUUCACAAGGUCUUUGAUAAGGAGGCCAACUCUCUCAGUAUCAGAGUGCUAGCAGAACUAGUCAUUGUGUAGUGUUUGAAGUGCUCAUCAAAUAUCUAUACAACUCCUUUGCAAGUACUGUGACAUCACUGAAUGCUGAUAAAUUAAUAUGCAGUAUAUAAUCUAUAAAAAGUCACAACUGUUUACUGCUAUGCACUCUGGGCUACAUAUUCUAUUAAAAGUAUUUAAACACUGAAUUAUUUAUAAUAUAGGAACAUGGACUUGGAUUUGGAGGUUGCUCAUAAAUUCCAGGACCUCUCCACUAUACCCAUAGGCAGAUAGAGGGCCCUCCCAUCACCAGCUCUCCUAGCACCACUUCUGCCCAUAGGAAUUGCUCCUCCUCUUCCAACUCUUUUACCUCUACUAACUUGUAAUAUACCCACCACCAUCACCUUUGUUCAGGGAUGUCCUGCUCCACAGUCAUACUGUCUGCUCUAAAUUAUGAAAUGAAGCAGAAAUAAAUAUAUAAACCUGAACUCCAUGAACUGAUUCUUAAAACAGCAGCAACAGAUUCUCUGGAGAGUCAAAUAAUCAAAGGCAAAAACCCUGACUAGAGGUUUUCCCACAGAGUCAAAUGACCUAAGGGCACCUUCUAGGCACUGGUUGUCAUUAUUUGCACAUUAACUGCAUAGGUGUGCACAAGUAUGGUAUAAUGUUAAAAGAAUGUGACUGCUGACUCUUCCCCUUUCCUUUGUGAACUCACCACCUUAUUUAUCUAAAUAAUUGGAAACACCAUAGGGAAUAUGAAAUUCAUGUAGAAGAUACAAGGGAAUUAAAGUGGUAUAAGGAUAAUUGUAUUAGUUUCUUAGGGUUGCCAUAACAAAUUACCACAAACUGAGUGGUUUGUAACAACAAAAAUUUCUCUCUCACAGUUUUGGGGGGCCAAAGUCCACAAUCGAAAUGUUGGUAGGGCUAUAUUCCACAGAGGCUACAGGAGACCAUUUUUUUCUUGGCUUUACCUUCCAGAACUUUUGGUAUCCCUUGGUUCAUGGCCACAUAUCUCUGUUCUGUUUUCAUAGUGCCUUCUCUUCCUCAUGUCUAUGUGUACACUUUCCUCUGCCAUAAGCAGAGAUGGCAAACACAAGUGAUGUCUGCAUAUUGAUCUUAACAUUCUGCACCUUGGCCAAAUUCAUUUAGUGUGUGUAUGUAUUCUUGGGAUACUUCAUGUUAUCUGCAAAAAGACAUUCCAAUUCAGAUGGCUUUUAUUUUUCUCACCUAAUUUUGCUAUGGCUAGAAUUUGGAAGGGGCAAUCAUGGGCAUCCUUCUCUUCCUCAUGGGAAUGAUUUUAGUCUUUCACCACUGAGUAUGACAUUGGCUAUGGGGUUUUCACAUAUGACCUUUAUUGUGCUGCAGAAGUUCCUAUUUUUGUUGUUCUCAUAAAAGGGUAUUUUGUCAAGGAGUUAUUCUGCAUCAAUAGAAAUGAUCAGGGGCCCCUGGGUGGCUCAGUGGGUUAG